AUUGAACGCUGGCGGCAUGCUUUACACAUGCAAGUCGAACGGUAACGGGCCUUCGGGUGCUGACGAGUGGCGAACGGGUGAGUAAUGCAUCGGAACGUGCCCAGAGGUGGGGGAUAACGCAGCGAAAGCUGUGCUAAUACCGCAUGUGAUCUGAGGAUGAAAGCGGGGGACCAGGCAGCAAUGUUUGGCCUCGCGCCUUUGGAGCGGCCGAUGUCAGAUUAGGUAGUUGGUGGGGUAAAGGCCUACCAAGCCGACGAUCUGUAGCUGGUCUGAGAGGACGACCAGCCACACUGGGACUGAGACACGGCCCAGACUCCUACGGGAGGCAGCAGUGGGGAAUUUUGGACAAUGGGCGCAAGCCUGAUCCAGCAAUGCCGCGUGCGGGAAGAAGGCCUUCGGGUUGUAAACCGCUUUUGUACGGAACGAAAAGGCUCUGGCUAAUACCUGGGGCUGAUGACGGUACCGUAAGAAUAAGCACCGGCUAACUACGU
Molecule: ribosomal RNA, 491 nt
Filed under: uncultured bacterium
Lineage: Bacteria
Description: partial 16S ribosomal RNA
Rfam family: Bacterial small subunit ribosomal RNA
Source: RNAcentral